AAUAUUGCGCAAUGGGGGGAACCCUGACGCAGCAACGCCGCGUGAGCGAGGAAGGCCUUCGGGUCGUAAAGCUCUGUCUAGAGGGCUGAUAGUGACAGUACCUCUGGAGGAAGCCCCGGCUAACUACGUGCCAGCAGCCGCGGUAAUACGUAGGGGGCAAGCGUUGUCCGGAUUUAUUGGGCGUAAAGGGCGUGUAGGCGGUAGCUUAAGUCAGAUGUGAAAGUCCAGGGCUCAACCGUGGAAUUGCAUUUGAAACUGUACUACUUGAGUGCAGGAGAGGAGAGCGGAAUUCCUAGUGUAGCGGUGAAAUGCGUAGAGAUUAGGAGGAACACCAGUGGCGAAGGCGGCUCUCUGGACUGUAACUGACGCUGAGGCGCGAAAGCGUGGGUAGCGAACA
Molecule: ribosomal RNA, 397 nt
Filed under: uncultured bacterium
Lineage: Bacteria
Description: partial 16S ribosomal RNA
Rfam family: Bacterial small subunit ribosomal RNA
Source: RNAcentral